GGCCUCCGCAGCCUCGCUACUCACAAAUGGGCUGGGCCUAGCUCGGUCCGAGUCGCGCGAGUCCACCACAAGUCGCUUCUUCCUCCCACCGGCCACCACAGCCCACACAGACGCGGCAGAGAGAGAGAGAUCGGAGGGGGAUCGCCGGGCAGAGAUCGGCCGGAGAGGGAGGAGGAAGAUGAUACUCGCCGUGCUCUUCGCCAACUCCGAGGGAAACAUCCUCAUCGAGAGGUUCCAUGGCGUCCCGGCGGAGGAGCGGCUGCACUGGCGCUCCUUCCUCGUCAAGCUCGGCGCCGAGAACCUCAAGGGGGCCAAGUCCGAGGAGCUCCUCGUCGCCUCCCACAAGUCGGUCUCCAUUGUGUAUACCAUGAUCGGGGACAUCUGCCUGUACAUUGUCGGCAAGGAUGAAUAUGAUGAGCUUGCUCUGUCGGAGGUGAUCUUCGCUGUUACGUCGGCGGUGAAGGAUGUGUGUGCGAAACCACCCACCGAGCGCCUCUUCCUGGACAAGUACGGGAGGAUCUGCCUGUGCCUGGACGAGAUCGUUUGGCAGGGGUUGCUGGAGAACACGGAGAAGGACAGGGUUCGGAGGCUGAUCAGGCUCAAGCCCCCUGUGGAGCCAUGAUUUUUGCAGUUGAGAGAUGGAUCCUUCCUGUGUAUGUAUCGCUUUGCUAGAGCCUGGGUGGUGCUCACAAACACUUGGCACUUGUGUGAUUCUUUUGUCCAUGGAUGUACUGUGUACAACAAGUUGAUGGGAAUGUGAUUUGGUAUAUGCUUUCAG
RNAcentral lists this ribosomal RNA (778 nucleotides) under Triticum aestivum (bread wheat). Its description in RNAcentral is "partial small subunit ribosomal RNA". Lineage: Eukaryota; Viridiplantae; Streptophyta; Magnoliopsida; Poales; Poaceae. The record is from RNAcentral.